GGUUCCGUGGUGAGUGGAUGUGUGAUUACGGGCGUCUUCGUGGCUGAACGCAACUGUGUUCCGCCAGUGGAUUAACCUCGAUGCGAUGAUGUGGUGAAUUGAUGAGUGGUGUUGUGUUCUAAGUGAAGGGAGUGAGCAGGUGGUGUUGUCUGUAGGAACUCACCAGCGUUCUAAUUAACCGCAUAUCUUGUUAUUGAACGAUACAAGAGUAGAUGUGUGGAGUUGCCAUGUAACUUUGGGCAGCGGGGGUUGGUGAGAGAGACUGGCUUGGGGUUUUUCGAAACUGCAGACUGAGUGCCUUAUUUUGCCAUACUACACGGCUGAAAAGUUCGUGGACGUACCCUCUGUUGUUUGAUAUUUUCCUGGCGAGAAGGCAUUCAUUCAGUGAUAUUCGUGAUUUUUCUAGAGAAAAAGAAAAGGUCGAGUAGAAAUGCUUCUUUGACGAGGCUUCGUAUAACACAAUGCAUCAAUUUAACCUCUUGAUUCAAACUACAGCUGAGGAUCUGCCUUGACGCGGGGGUUACUUUGUUAGCAACGGACUCUAUUGUGUGUGUAUGUGUUAGAUGUGUUGGAAAUUGAACCCAAGUACAUGCAAUUGAAAGGCAACAGUUAGAUAAAGAAAAAGAUUACAACAAAAUACAUGCACAGCCCUUCUUCUUCCACCCACACUGCGAGCGCCGAGUGUCACAAUCCUGGCACCUUCUUAUAGCGGUCAAUUGGCAGGGUUGGUGAUGUCAUGAGUGGAGUCCACGUGUUACCGACGGCAUCGUAGCGGCGUGGGCGGCAUGUGGGCGGCGGGCGCGGUGUGGGCGGUGGCGCUGGGUGUGGUGGUGUUGACGCCCACCGUUGCUAGCCUCGGCGGGCCCAACGUGUGUACCAAACAGGAGACGUACACGAGUUUUGUGAAUGUGUCCUACACAAAAGCAUAUAGAGUACGAACUUACACGUACUGCUUCAGCAUUCCGCCCAAGUGUUCCAAGUACAAGAUUGCAUAUAAGACUUCUUUCAAGACGCAAAGCCAAACCAAGACUCGGACAGUGGAUGUGUGUUGUACCGGCUUCACCAGAGUGCCAUCUGAUGACCGGUGCAUACCAAUAUGUUCCCAAGACUGCAUACACGGGGUUUGUCUCAAGCCAGACGAGUGCCGUUGCGAAGCAGGCUACUCGGGUCCAAGCUGUAAUAUAAGCAACUUGAUGGAGUUUGGUAAUGACGACACAGUGCAUAAUGCCCUGGUCCCGUGCUCUGGCCCGCAGUGCUAUGUUUCAUGUCCUGAAGGGAAAUGGGGUAUGGGAUGUAUCCAUGACUGCCCCUGUCUACACGAGGGAAAAUGCGAUCCCUUAUAUGGGAAUUGUUCAUGUCAUGCUGGCUGGAUCGGACCUUAUUGUGAAGAGAAAUGUCAGGAUGGGUAUUAUGGAGUGGACUGCAAAGAUCGGUGUCGCUGUCAGAACGGAGGGACCUGCGACCAUGUGUCCGGGGCAUGCCAGUGCUCACCUGGAUGGACAGGACCCCUUUGUGAGAAGUCUUGUCCAGAGGGCACACACGGCACUGCCUGCAGUAACAAGUGUGCCUGUCAGAAUGGUGGACACUGUGACCCUGUCAAUGGGAAAUGUCAGUGUCCCCCAGGUUGGACGGGAGAUGUGUGUGCCAACCCUUGUCCUCAGGGCACCUGGGGACGUAACUGCUCAGAGCUUUGUGAUUGUUACAAUUCUGCAACAUGUGACCACAUAACAGGUCGCUGCAAGUGUCCUUCUGGAUAUGUAGGAAAUAAGUGCCAAGAGGAAUGUCCAUUGGGGACAUAUGGGGUUAAUUGCACAGAAUCUUGCAAUUGCCGCAAUGGAGCCACUUGUUCACACGUCAGUGGAAGAUGUUUCUGCAAAGAUGGAUGGCUGGGCAAUGACUGCUCAAUGCCAGCUUGUCCUCCAGAUCAGUUUGGACCUGGAUGUUCUCAGAUUUGUUCCUGUGAAAAACAUAACACAGAAAGAUGUCAUCCAUGGACGGGUGAGUGUGAGUGCAAAGCUGGCUGGGCAGGUGAGACCUGUAGUCGAGCCUGCCCUUUCUACAAGUACGGAGAGAAGUGUCAGAACAGUUGCAAUUGCAAGAAUGGAGCUUUCUGUGACCCUGUGGAAGGCACAUGCAUCUGUGCACCAGGGUACCAUGGAAAAGAUUGCAGCGAUCACUGUCCAAAACACAAGUAUGGUCAGAACUGUGAAUUGGAUUGCCGCUGUAAAAAUGCCCUUGGCUGCUCGCAUGAGAGUGGGAAGUGCAUAUGUAGUCCAGGUUGGGGUGGCCAGCAGUGUUCCCUGACAUGUCCACUAGGUUUCUAUGGUGGGAACUGCACGAAGGUGUGUGACUGCCAGAACAACGGCUCUUGUAACCCAGUGACGGGAAAAUGCACCUGCGGCCCUGGCCAUUUUGGGGACAAGUGCCAGAAGACAUGUGACCAGGGCUUCCAUGGUAUGGGCUGUAUUAAUCACUGUGCCUGUGUUGGACCAAAUGUUGAAGGCUGUGACCCAGUCACUGGUAGAUGUAUCUGCAAGCCUGGUUUCCGAGGUGUGAGUUGUGAAUCUAGAUGUCCACGGGGCAACUAUGGUGAAGCUUGCACAAAGAAAUGCGAUUGCAAGAACAACGGGUCCUGCAAGUAUCAGAACGGAAAGUGCAACUGCGAGCGAGGGUGGCAUGGUGCCAACUGCAACACUCCUUGUAGACCUGGCAAAUAUGGAGUUAACUGCAACCAAAACUGCCCAUCUUGUGUGCAUGGAAAUGGUACAUGUGAUGCGCAAGAAGGGACGUGUGUUUGUGCAGCAGGGUGGCGGGGAGCAAGAUGUGACCGCACAUGUCCUUCUGGCUACUGGGGAUUUGUCUGCAGUAAUGAAUGCAGAUGUCGUAAUGGUGCAGAGUGUAACCCAGAAACAGGAGAGUGUCACUGUCUUCCUGGCUGGAGAGGAGCUGACUGCUCACAGCCUUGCCCUCCUGGGACUUUCGGUUACAAUUGCUUGCAAACGUGUCAUUGUCGAAACCAUGCAUCUUGCAGAGGCAAUGAUGGUUUCUGUGAGUGCAAGCCAGGAUGGAUGGGACCAGGGUGUACCCAGACUUGCCCAGAAGGGUAUUAUGGACGCCAGUGCCUGAAUGUGUGCAACUGCACCACCGAUAACUUCAUUUGCCAUCCUGUUGAAGGUUGUAAAUGUCGUUAUGGAUUUGAGGGUGACAUGUGUGAUAUCCCAAUUACCAGUCCCAUCAAAACAAGCGAUGUUCCCUAUCUCCCAACCACACCAAGUGGAUCAAAUAAUGCAGGGCUUAUUGUUGGUGUAGUGUCAAUCAUCCUCAUCACUAUUGUCAUAGCAAUAAUAAUAUACUACAGACGAAGAUUAAAAAGAUUAAAGAGAGAACUUGCCGUAGUCCAGUACACUGCGAAUCCCUCAACAACAGAACGCCCAAAGAUGAUCGAGAGCAAAGAGAGCACUAAGCUUCGUCCUUCUAAUAAGCUCUCGCAGAAGUCGGACAACUGGAAAUCUCUGUCUUGUGUCAGGGAUGAUUCAAAGAGUCAUAUAUUGAAAGAUCAACACCACUUUGACAAUCCAGUGUAUGCGUACCAGACUGUGAGCAAGUCACAGCCCAACCUCUUAGAGAAUGGGAACCUAAACAACGGUGUCACCAUUAAGAAUAACCUCUCUAUUAAAGAUGAUAAGAACAGAGAGUGGGAAAAAUUGGGCACUUUCACCUUUGAUGACGACGUCAGUAGUUUAGGUGCCGUAGGGGGUCAUUAUGAUGUGCCAUCGACCCUUCAGAGGCAAGCAGCGCGAGUGAAAGCAUUAGAAGCCGAUGCCACUAACCCAAACCUUAAUAUUUAUCAUUCUAUUGAAAGUUUAAAGGAUAACCGCCUUGUAGAACAUGUGUAUGACGAAAUAAAACAGCGACCUCCUCCUCCAAAAGAUCCAGUGUUCACAAUAUUCAGAAGGAGUGGUUCGUGUAAGUUUGGCGCAUAUUAAUUGGCGCCAUGAUGUAGCUGAGAAAUGUGUGUGGUUCUCCGUUCCUCAUAGCGGAUGGUGAAUAUGAUCACUUGACAUAUUCGCGUCCAGUGGGUGAAGUGAAGCCUCAUUACUACACCAUGGCCUCUCAGCUCCGGCGUUCUGCUGACCAACUCUCAGGCGAUGACACAAAGACUGC
Molecule: unclassified non-coding RNA, 4164 nt
Filed under: Penaeus japonicus
Lineage: Eukaryota; Metazoa; Arthropoda; Malacostraca; Decapoda; Penaeidae
Description: protein draper-like, transcript variant X3
Source: RNAcentral